Molecule: ribosomal RNA, 542 nt
Filed under: uncultured bacterium
Lineage: Bacteria
Description: partial 16S ribosomal RNA
Rfam family: Bacterial small subunit ribosomal RNA
Source: RNAcentral
UGGGGAAUAUUGCACAAUGGGCGCAAGCCUGAUGCAGCCAUGCCGCGUGUGUGAAGAAGGCCUUCGGGUGUAAAGCACUUUCAGCGAGGAGGAAGGUGGUGAGCUUAAUACGCUCAUCAAUUGACGUUACUCGCAGAAGAAGCACCGGCUAACUCCGUGCCAGCAGCCGCGGUAAUACGGAGGGUGCAAGCGUUAAUCGGAAUUACUGGGCGUAAAGCGCACGCAGGCGAUUUGUUAAGUCAGAUGUGAAAUCCCCGGGCUCAACCUGGGAACUGCAUUUGAAACUGGCAAGCUAGAGUCUCGUAGAGGGGGGUAGAAUUCCAGGUGUAGCGGUGAAAUGCGUAGAGAUCUGGAGGAAUACCGGUGGCGAAGGCGGCCCCCUGGACGAAGACUGACGCUCAGGUGCGAAAGCGUGGGGCAGCAAACAGGAUUAGAUACCCUGGUAGUCCACGCUGUAAAACGAUGUCGAUUUUGGAGGUUGUGCCCUUGAGGCGUGGCUUCCGGAGCUAACGCGUUAAAGUCGACCGCCUGGGGGAGUACGG